RNAcentral lists this unclassified non-coding RNA (11402 nucleotides) under Leishmania donovani. RNAcentral's name for it is "gene:LdHU3.24.2400(CDS-product:cyclin_10)". Lineage: Eukaryota; Euglenozoa; Kinetoplastea; Trypanosomatida; Trypanosomatidae. The record is from RNAcentral.
UCACGUAAAUUGCUCCCAUGUGAAUGUUAUAGUUCAUUUGUUGUUCUCUCGCAUAGCAUCCACCCACACCUUCGCUCCUUCUCCCUUCUCUCUCGCUCGCUCGCUCUCUAGUGCGUGUGUGAUCACGUGUCGGUGACGCCGGCUUCACCUUUCUUCCUGUAUCCCCUUUUCUCUCUCUGUGUGUGGUGUUUGACAUUUUUCAUUUGCUGUUCGUCCUCCCCCUUCUCCAGUGUCGGCAGCGCGGCAGCUUUGCUAUUCGCACCUCACGUUCAUUUACCGCCCCCCCAUCCAUCCAUCACCGCUUCUCACCCACACAUCAUUCUCCCCCUUCCCCUCCCCCCCCCACACCACCUCCCCUCCUUGUACUUUCUGGUUCUCUUGGUUCUUGUAGCAAGUUGCCACUCCCCACCGCCGCCACAGACACACACACACCACACACACACACACACACACACCCUUCUCACCCCCUCAACACCACCACCGCGCGUACAUCUUUCUUGCUGUGCGUUUUGCUCUCUGUUUUGUCCUGCUCCUCUUUCCUCUCCUCCGUCUUUUUUCCUCCACCCCCCUACCCUCCCGCCUUUACUCCUUCCUCACGCCUUGCAUCCCCGUCUUGCAUCACCCUUCCCGCGUGUCCGUGUCAGUGGUGGUGCCUUGUUAUUGUCUCUCUGUAGUCCGGCGGGAAACGGCGCACGCUCUCUCCGAGCCACCUCUUCCCUUCCCUCCCCCCCACCUCACCCCCUCCUCUCUCUCCAGUCACCACACACGCAUACACGUCCAUACGGAUAUCCAUUGUUUUGCUAAGGGCUGCGCAGCACCCUUGGAGAUUGCAGCAUUCUCUGAGCAUCACGCUUGAGCACACGCGACUCUCUUGAUACCCCUUAGGAUUGGUGCAGCGACUCCUCUCUCUCGUUUCGCGUGGUGGUGUGUACGCCGACAUCUUGUUGAUCGAGACCCUCCCCCCUUACCCUUCCCACCUUCUCCCAGCAGGCGGUGACCGUAUUCCCUCUACCUUCUCUGUGGACGAGAAGAGAGUGAGGAGUGUCCUUUCUCUCUGCCGAUUUUAUCGGUUUCGGUGCUGUGCAAUGAGUGCGCUAGACACAAUGGUGCAGAACGGGCGCAACCACGCGGGUGACGCUAACAACCAUAGCAGCAGCCACACCGAGGAUGGCAAUACGUCUAGAGUCUACUCCCCACCGCGGCUCUCCCCCGCCGUGCCGCCGCGCGGCGUGGACGAAAUAGAGAAGCCGCUCAUCUGCCACUUUUUUCGCAAGCCGUCUACCAUGCAGAUUGGCUUAGCGGGGUGCAACAGCAGUCUCCAUACUUCGCCCAACAGUGGCUCGGCUGCCGGGAGCGGCUUCUAUGGCGCUCGUGGCCAAGAGGCUGCAGCCAGCGCUACCGUGGACAGCAGUGGCGCGAAUGGCCUGUGCGCCGGCGCAACAAUUUUGAGUCCGUCCGCCACUCCAACGCUGCCACCCUUGCCGUCCACGAUGGACGAGCCGGUCGACCUCUUUCCGCUUACGCCGUCCGUGUCCAUGCCGCAGCGACACAGCAAGCGCUCGGGCCGCUUGCUGAACGAGUCCGAGACGAUGCAAGAGAAGCAUGGGCAGGAAUACCGGUUUCUUGUUCCGUGGCUGGCGUACGCAAUCGACUGCACCAUCGCGGCGCAUGAGGUGCUGCGGCAGAAGCACGGGAUACCCGCGCACGUGUCAUCGCCAGCCUCGCCUUCAGCAACCACGCUGAACGGCGCAACUGACGCCGAGCGCUCGCCACGAGGGAGCGUCAACGGUGGCCUCACGUGUGCGAACACGACAGGCAGCAGCAGCAGUGGCAGCGGCAAGGCGACUUUGCCGAGCCCGCAGGCGGAACUCAACGCCUUCUCCACCCGCGAGGUUCCGGCCAUCUCCGUUCACGACUACCUCAAGCGCAUCGUCAAGUACACCUAUGUCUCUCCGUCGGUGCUGGUGUGCGGAUGCCUCUACCUGGACCGGCUGCUCUGCAUGCACCCAUGCAUGCUCCUGCACCCGUACAACGUGUUCAAGCUCUUCCUCACGUCGACCAGAAUGGCAAGCAAGAUCAUGGACACGCGAACACUCAACAACCACGACUUUUCUGUCGUCGGCGGUGUCACAAACGACGACCUCAACGCGCUGGAGUUUCUCAUGGUGGAGCUGUUGCAGAACCGGCUCUACUUCUCACGCGACACCUUCGAUGAGUACUGUCGCCCGCUCCGCCUACAGGCAGCUCACUUGAGUGAAGAAGCAAGCGACUGGGGCAUCGAGACAGCCAUGGAGACGCCAGUCGAGACUCGCUCCGGUGUACAGCACCAGCCGACGCGGCCAUUCCUUGCGCGCUGCAACGGCAGCAACACCCGUAGCCGUCGAUCUAGCAUCCUUUCGCAGAACGAGUACAGCAUAUCGAUAGCUUCGCAGAGCGGCGUGUCACCUCUGCGGUCGGCGUCGCGUCCAGCCUUUCCGCCGAGCGCGUCGACGGCGCGCUCCAUAUCGGUAGACACGGAGUCUAUAGGUCCAGCCCGCGCACCUGCGUCGCGCGGCGGGUCAGCGUCCACCUCCGCUCGGCGUCACCCCCUCGGCACGUCGUACUCACCAGCCCUGCCACACGUGCCGCACGUUGCAGCGAACGGUGGCUCGUCUCCUGCGCUUGGUGCCAUGGGAGGCCUAUCCGGGCGCGGCGCCAGCGGCGAAGACAUGCUUCGUGUAGCGACACACACCAACAGCAUCUACCAAAGCAGCAACGGGGUGUGGACGGGCCAGACUCCGCCGGACUCGGCGACGGUGCUAGUAGCGGUGGAGGAACGAGGCGAUGAGCGAGCGCGCAGCAUUUCACUCUCCGCCCCUCGCUGUGGAGCCGCCGCCUCGUGGGACGCCACUGGCCGCCCGAGCCGCUUGCUGGCGGCGAGCACCGGCACAAUGGCGGGCCUUUGCACAGCGGCGCUCAACGGUGGCCGCGGUGGCUAUGAAAGCUCCCCCAACGUCUGCGCCGCUCCAGCCUACAACGGGGCAGCCACCAGCAGUAGUCGGGGCAUAACCGCCAGUGCUGAAGAUUUCGGGGCUGGUUCGAUGGUGAUAAGCUACAGUGAUCGCACCCCUACUCGACGAGCCUUUUCCCACGCAUCACGUGAGGGGAUAGCUCUGCCACCAGUGGUGCGUAGCGGACGCAGCGAGCGAUCUGCGAGUAUGAUAGGUGUUGCUGCGCAAGGCCAACGUUUACCUCCACCUCCAGAUCAGCCCCGUGUGUAGGUGAUAGGCCUCCCUCCAAUGCUCACCGACAAACACACACACACAAGCACACACACACACACACAAAUGGCUGUGUGUGCUUGUGCGUCUCUCCCCCUCUCCGCGCCGCACCUAUGUCUGAGUGUGUGCACUUUCUUCUGUUGCUGUUAUAAACGUUUGGUAUGGCAGCAUUGGGUAUGCCCCCACCACCCCCCAACACCACUCACCCGCCCACCCACCCUCCCUUCCCCGCUUCUUUGUCGUUCGUGCGCGCGCACGCGUGUGUAUGUGUGCUGGAGCGAAUCUGUUUGCGUGUAUGCUGCUUCCUUUCUUUGGCUGCUGCUACUGCUGCUGUGUUCUUGUGAAUCGCAGUGGUGGUGAUAUUGUUCAUCUCUUUACGUUUCUCCUUUCCUCCUCCCCUCCCACUCUUUCCGUUCCUUCUCUCUCGCAGGUUGUCCAUUGUGCAGACAAAAAUGUCUAAGCGGAGGCGCACACGCAAACGCACGUCGCGCAUGACUUCGUUCGCCAAAAAGGUGUGUCUUUCUCAGUUUCAGAAGAGCCGGGAGGUUCGGGUGUGGAGGGAAGGGGUAGCAAGGAAGAGAAGUGCGUUUGUGGGUGCAGUUCUGGCAUGCUUGUAGAGCGUCACCCCACACACACACACACACACAUAUACCGGCACAAGAAUGUUCUUCUCAACGUAAGCAUCUCUAACUCCCUCUCGCGCGCUUGUGUAUUUUUUCGCUCACCCGCCGUUCCCCUUUCCUCUUCCCCGCCCCUCCCCCAACGCCGUCACCUCCCUCGCUGGCCGCUCACAGCCCUCCCCUCCCUUUCCUCAUCUCACUCUCCCUCUGCCUCUCCCUUCUUUCCUUUUGGUUUUCGGUUCGAUCUCCCACACCCUCACCUGUUUCAGUCCUGUCGUUUCGAGCUGCUCUCCGCCAACACCACUGUCACCUCACGUUUGCUGCAGGGCCGAGAGGAAGGGGGCGAGGGCGACUCCGCUUUUUUUUGUAUUUUGGUGUGUUCAUGUUUGUUUGUUCCUCCCCCUCGCCAAGCAAGCACACACACACAACUGUGGAGUGAAGUGUAGUGCUCCUGUCCUCCGUUCCUCAGCCUCCCUCCUCCACAUUCCGCUCCUGCUCCCUUUUGCUGUUGCUUCCCUGUUGCACACCUCUCUGCCUCUCUGUGCUCCUUCUUUUUCGGCGCGUUCUCUCUCCCAGCUUUUCUUGUCCUAUUCCACAGCAUUCCGAUUCCGGCCCUCCCACCACCCCCCUGCCCCUCUUCCGGGCGCGAACCCCCUCUACGAGUACUCUCAUGCAUUCAGCACCCUCCUCUUCCCCUUCUCUCCUCCAUUACUCACCCACGCGCCCAAUAGCCGCUAUUGCGAUUUCCCGCUAUCUCCCUCUCCAUUUCUCCCCCCGCCACCUCCACGGCCCCCUCCCCCUCCUCUAUACCGGCAGCCACGGCAUUCCGAAGGUGCGUUGGCGCGGUCGCUUCAGAGGGCGAUGCAGCGGCCGGAGAGCACGAGGGGGAGGCCUGAGGGGGUCGACAAGCAAAGCUCGACGCUGUAGCGCGUGUGUCGGCUGAGGGGGGGGGAGGAAGCGGCAGCGAGAGCGUGCAUUGCCCUCCUCUUCCUUUGCUUUGCCUCUCGCAUUGGCGUGGGCGCACUGAUGGCCGCGGACACCUCGGCGUGGCAUGAGGGUCCACUACCCCUCUCCGUAUGGGGAAGCCGAGCAGCCUCGCCCGCCCCCCCCACCUCUGUCAAUGCACAACCACCUCUGGUGGGUGGCAGGGCCAGGUGCCUGCGGCGUAGGGGGAGGCCAGUGCGAUGUACCGCCACUGAUGCCGGCGGUCAGGUCCUGGAUGGCGCUUCAUCGGAGAGAGCUGCGACAGUGAAUACGCUUGCACUAUCCACAUGAUGGGCAGCGUGUCGACGUGACUCGACCGCAUCUCAGUCGGCCCUUGCUGCCCGCUGGUGGGUGAGCCUGAGCCAUCCCAAGCGAUGCGCCAGCUGGCGACCUGCUCAGCGUGGAGUGGCGGGCAGAGUUUGAGGCAGGGGCCGUGCUCCGAUGGCUGAGUCGGCGCAUCGCUGUAGCGCGUGUGCCUACGGCUGCUUCGCACCACGCGAUGGGUGGCGUGUGGGCACAGCGUCCUUUGACCUCACGUUGUGUGCGGCAGCGAAAAGAAAACGGGCAGGCGCUGCGUAGAAAAGAACAACGAAAUUCAGUGGAGGUGUCUGUCCAUGUGUAUGUGUAUGUAUAGGGGAUAUAGGGAUGUGCGCGUGUGUACUACCAGACGAUGAAGAGGGGGUGAGCCUCGCUCUAUCUCCCCCCUCCCUCUCUCCGUUCUCUGCUUCCGUAGUUGCACCUUGGUCGGUUGGUCGGUUUUCAUUUGUUUCAUCGCGAGGGAUUACACGCGGCACACAUACACUGCUGCUUCUUCACGUUCUCUUUCCACAUCCCGUUAUCUGCUGCUGGCACCACCCCAUCUUCCGUGUCUCCCCCUACGUGCCAUUCAAGCCUCCUCCCUUCCCCUGCUGUCUCCCCUCUUUGCUUGAGGGACAUACCGAAUAUGAUGCCGUCUUCUCCCUCGUUUUCUCGACCUCUCUCACACGUAUUCGUACAAGCACGCGCUCCUUUUUUACCCACCCUCACGCGUUGCCAGAAAGACGCGCACGCACACAUGGCUGUGCGGCCCACGCAUUUUCUUUUUGGAGGGGGUCCUCGUGCUUUGCAGACCUCUUUCUUGUGUGCUCCUUGUGUCUCUCUUUCUGUGUGUGUAUGUGUCUCUCUUGACUGUGUGUCCUCACAUUUCUUUUCUGUUCCGUAUCUCCUUUCUUGGCUCUCUCCUUCCCUCACCUCAUCUCCCCCGCUUUCUGUUCUACCCUCUCUUCCUCUCUAUCUCGUGAUGCUGUGCGGAAUGCUUGUGUGUGUUGCUAUCUGUCAUCCCGUGUUGAUGCGAAUUUUAUUUGUGGUUCGUUUCUUUGGGUUCUCGCGGGGGCUGGCUGAGGAAUAUACGUGUAUGUGCAUGUGCAUGUGCAUGUGCAUGUGUGCGUGUGCCUCCCCCUUUCUUUCUCUUCUCGAUUUGUCAUUCUGCCCCUCACCCCCUCCUCUCUCUCUUUCCAUCUAGUGCCCCAUGUUACUUCACCCUUGCCCACUCUCCGUCUCUUCAUCUUCCCGCUACGCCCCCCCCACCCCUGUCUUCCCUCCUCCCGUGUACCUUUUCUCCACUGUCGUCGUUCGCUGGUUGCUUGUGUCGGUGUGCAUGUGGGCUCUUGUCUCUGUUGGUGUUUUUAUGUUUCUUCCCUCUCUCACCGCGCCCACCCGCUCAGACUCUACUCGCUCAGAGAGGCUUCCCUUCAUCUAUCCCCCCACCCACCCCUGCCCGUGUCAACAACAGAGGGCACACACACGCACCGACAUGCACACACACAUUCUUCCCAUAGGCGCUCCCUCUCCCCUCUCCCCUUGUGUUUUGUGCCCCCUCCCCGUCUUGUUUUAUCUGCGUGUAUGCGUGCGUGUGUUUUUACCUUCCUCGCUGUUGUUUCAUUGACAGACAUUGUUUCUUUAUAUCUUUGCCCUUUCCUUAUAUUUGAUGUCUUGUGACACAAAUGUGUGUUAGGUGGGUGCGUGUGCGUGUUGUUUCUCCUUUUCCCGUGUUGCUCCCCUUUUUCUUUGUGAGUUCACCCCACCACCACCACCACCUCUCUCCCCGUCUCUCUUCUUCUUCGCCUCGGCUGUGCCUGUGCUUUCUUCCCGCCCGUAUACGCCUCUAUCUCGAUCCCUGCAUCGACCAAUCUGGCGAUCCUUCGCUGGUGAGCUCUCGCUUCUGUACAUGUGCGUCUGUGUGACAGCACUGCCCCCUGCCCCCUCUCUCUAUAUCUCCUCCCCCCCCCUUGCAUCUCCUCCCUCUUCUUUCUCUCUUUCGCCGUCUUCUCGACAGAUGGAUGGAUCGAGGGUCCUCGCACAGAAGAAACGGCGUGACGCGCGGGGAAGAAGGGGGAGAACCAAGCGUGAGAGGAUUGAGGGAAUGUGGAGGAGGGGAGCAGUAGAAACAAAACAGAUAGCCUAGACAAUGUCACAGCGACGGUGGGCUGAGCUUCGUGGUCUUCUUCCUCUGCUGCGGCUGCUGAUUACAAUAUUGGACUGUUUUCAGUGCUUGCUACAGCAGCCAUCGCUCUCUUUCUUUUUUUCCCUGUGUGAAGGGCUGGGAGUGGAAUGUGUGUAUGUAUGUGUGUGCCCUUGUCCUCCUCUCCCUCUGCCGACGGCGUUGUUGCACGCCUGGUUGUUCUCUUGCUAUUUUCUCGUCUCUCCGUUUGUCUGCUUGUUCGCUUUCUUUUUUGUUGUUCGCCCUCGCCCUCCGUCAUGUGUCGUAGCGGCAGUGGAAGGCACUUGGUUGGAGAUGGGAGGGAGUGAGGGAGCGUGCGUAUGUAUAUGUGUGGAAUUCGGGAUACGGAGAGGGGGAAGGCGGCCGUGCUACGUCCUCACGUGAGGGGGAACUUCUUCCGCACACCUCCCUCUGUGCCCUUACUCCGCCCACCUCCCCCCUUCUCUCGCCCUCCCUCCCUCCCCGCCUCACCCGGUGCGCAAACCUUACAACUCGCGUCGCUUCUCCUUUUUUUGUUGUCGAUACCGCUUUCUUCUUCCACUAUUUGCCCGUAAACAGCAAAGACGUGUUGCUGCAACCGCACCCACACUGAACCACUUCCCUUCCCCUUCUUCGGCUUCAUUCUCGUGUGCUACGCGUGGGUGCGUUUACUAGUGCGUGCGCGCGUUGAGUGCUGGGCUCUCUCUCCUUGGCUUGCCCUUUUUUUCUCUCCCCCUUCCCCCUCCCUCCUCCCCCUUUUCGUCGUGAUCUCGUGUACCUGCCGCUUCCGCCAAUAUGCCUCGUUAAGUUGUUAGUGAUUUGCCUUUCCUCUGUUCUUCGCCUUCUGCGUUGUAUGUACAUCUCUCUGCAUAUGCAUGCGUGUGCGGGUGUGCGGUGUGCACGUCCUUUAUGCUUUCGCUUGCUGAAUUCUCACUUUGCUUCUUGCUCGUCUUCGCGGCUGCUCCCCCCCCCUCUCCCUCCCUCCCUCCCUCCCUCCCUCCCUCCCUUUUUCUUCUGUUCUCCGCUACGUUGCAUACACCGACGUACACACAUAUGGCGACUCCCUCCCUCUCCGCUCUGUCGUCCGCCCUCCCCCGCACGACCCGACCUCUCCCCUCGUGCCACGCAAAGCAUAAACAGGCAAGCGAAAGAAGAGAAAACAGUAGUGAGUGCUUCACGAUGAAGCGACGCGACGCGUUUCUCAACGCUCAGCUGGAGGUGAGGCGGGGGUCAGGCAGGGCGAAGGAGUCAAGGUGGCAGUGGGAGGGGGACCUCAUCGGCCGCGGCAGCGUCUGGGCCACAAGAAAAAGCGGCUGAAAGACUGGCGCAGGUUGUGCGAUGCGAGAACAACGCAAAGAAUUGCGAAGGCGAAGCCGAAAGGCGGGUCUUGACAUGUUGGAGUGGUGUGCGGUGGUGAGAACAAAGAGGAGAGAAGAGGGGGUAUGGGGAGGUGAGCAACAGUGCGAUGGUGCGUCCUUCGACCCGAUCAUGGGUGUGCAUGGAUGGGAUACGUGUCUUUGAUGCGCAUUUCGAAGGCUGUAGCUCCUCCUACACCUUUCACGGCUCCUCCUCCUCUCUUCUUGACUUCUUCAUCCCCGUUCUCGGCUCCCCGUCGUCCACCUCCUCCUCUUCGUUGGUACUUCAUAUUUUUUUCUGUCUGUCUACUGCAGUAUCCAUGGCGUUUUGUAUGUGAUCCUUCUCUGUUGGUUUUCCUUCGACGUUCCUCUCUCCCUCUCUUGUUAUUAAUUUGUGCGCGUGUGUGUGUGCUCUUGUUCCGUGUCCUCAACUUGUGCCACCCCCCCCCACCCACCCACCCCACACAUACCACCGCCUUCUUGAAGUGGCCUCUCCCCCCCUAUCCCUCUCCGCUCCACGUUUCUUCAUUUGUUCCUCCUACGCGUCAGAGAUGAUUUGAGUGAGAGAGACGACAAGGCGUGCUGCUUCCGUGGGGGAUUCGCUAGGUUGGUUGAGUCGCGCGCGCACGGAGGGAUGAAGGAUAACAGCAUGGCACUGCCUUCUCAUGCUUUCUUCCUAGCUUACAUAGACUCUUUCUCUGUCGCCCCCCCCCACCCACCCACCCACCCAGCACCACCUCUCUCCCCUCUCUGUCUUGCGGCUAUGUUUGUUUUUUUCUGGUUGGUGUUGUUGCCUCUUCAUUCUCGCGGACGGUUGCCACUACGACUAGAGAAGCUCCGUCCUUUCCGUCUGUUUUUCGCCCUUUCAUUCCAUGCUCUCUUGCCUCCCCUCCUCCCUUCCUUGCUCUCUCUCUCUUCAGUGUUCUCCGAGUCUCUGUCUCUCCCUGUGGGACCGUUUGCCUUUUCUGUUUUCCUCCCUCCGUCCUUUGAGCUUCAGCCUCUCUCCUCCCUGAUUCCCUAUCAGCGCGUGUGUGUACUUGUUUCUCGUGCUCCUUUUCUGUGGUGCCUACUCCCAUGAUGGCGUAUCUCGCGUUGUGUAUACGCCCCCUCUGUCUCUCCCCCCUCCUCCCCGCUCCUCUCUGUCUUCCCCUCUUAAGCGCUUACAAGAACAAAAAAAUGUCGACGUGUCUCGUGUCUUUGGUUUGGUGUGUUUCUCCCUUCUUCCCCUCCUCCCCCUUUUUGGUUGGUUUGUUGCGCUUCUUUCGGUCUCUCCCCACGCACACUUCUCGUGUGUGUGUGUGUGUGGGGGGGGGGGGGGGGGGCAGGGCAGGACGGGGCAGUCGUCGCUCCUUCUUUUUUGCUGUUGUUGUCAUUUGUUACGUGAGGCGUGGCGCGCAUCCGUGUGGGCUUAUCCGCCUCUUCCCGCCACGCCACGCGCCCGCUUUGCGCAUGCUCGUCUCGUUCUCUCCUUUUGCUGUACGCCUCGUCCUCCGUCCUCGUCCGCCACCACCACCAUCACCACCUCCUCCGCUCUCUCUCUCUUUCUGCUGCCAUCCUCGCCACUGCCUCAUUUCUCUGUCCGCUUUCUCUCACCCAGCGUGUGCCGUUAUGAUCAUCCGUUUGUUUGUUGUCGGCCGAUGCUGGUGUGGAUGGAGCGUGCGUACGCGUGUGAGCGGCUCUGUCACCCCCCUACCUCUAUUGCUCUCUCCCUCCCAUCCCUACUUUCUUCUCCGAGCUCCUACGUGGUAUUACCUUGCGCCCUUUGUGUGGUACUGUUGCUCAUGUUGCCGUUGUUACUGUGCUCCCUCACCUGCUCCUUGCUCGCCUGGGCGCGUGUAUGUGUUUUCUCUAUCCAUCCCUCUCUCGCUCUCACUCGCUUCUCAUGCUUGUGUGCUUGUUUUGGCCUGUCUUCCCUGCGUAUGUAUGUUACACGCACACACACUUCUCCUUGUAUCCCCAUUCUCAUGUUGCCCCCCUCCCUCCCUCUCCUCCUUGUGUAUCAGCAUCUGUGUGUGUGUGUGUGUGUGUGUGCGUGGAGGACUUCACCUCCCUCUUCCUUUCUCUUCUUGCUGAGCCCCUCCCCCUUGUACCCACUGGCCUCCUUCCACUUGUGUCUGUGCUUGCUCGCCUCCUCUCUUCGCUUCUCUGCCUGCCAAGUGUGUGUCCGUGAAGCAGUACGCGGACGCACGCACCCCCUCACCUCCACGGCUUCGAAACACUUACCGGACGACUCCACCUACAGGCGCACAUACGGGUGCGCUAUACGAGCUUCCUCCCCCCUCUUCCCCUUCUCGUCAUGUGGAGCCCUAUCUGUAUGCCGUGACGGCUGGCAGACAGGGAACAGGGACGGAAUCGAAAGGCGAGAGAGAGCGAGAGGAGCAAAUGGCCAGGUUACAGGAGAGACCAUCCGACCCUCAAGAUAAGAGCGUGAGGGUGGUGGUAGUGGUGGAAGGCGCAAGCAUGGCGGCGGGAGAGACGAGAGAGCGAAGAACGCAUCGGUUGUAUCCUUGAGAGUUGACAUGGCAAAGAGGGAGAGAGAGAGAGGCGUGCAUUUUCUUUUUGUUUGCUUACGGCGCCACGACUUCGUGGCUUGACGAGCACAAGGCCAACCAUGCGACAACAACAACAGUAACGAGACGGCAGAUAUGUCGCUUAACCGGCCUCCGAGCACAUGGGUACGAGAGACCUCACCUGCGACUGGAGGAAGGGGGGGUGAAAGACGGGC